GUCGUCAAAGACUAUGACGUUGAUAGGCUAUAGGUGUAAAACUGGUAACAGUAAAGCCAAGUAGUACUAAUUGCCCGUAAGCUUUAAUUUUUUU
RNAcentral lists this ribosomal RNA (94 nucleotides) under Chitinophagia bacterium. RNAcentral describes it as "partial 23S ribosomal RNA". It matches the Rfam family "Bacterial large subunit ribosomal RNA", at positions 2834 to 2925 of the family's 2925-position model. Lineage: Bacteria; Pseudomonadati; Bacteroidota; Chitinophagia. The record is from RNAcentral.